GUUAGAGGUAGUUACUAUUUAUAUAAAAUAAUAUAAUUUGUUUCAAAAUAAUCUUAGGGUAUGGGUAGUAGAGGAAGCAGCUGGGGUACAAAAUGAAAAAGAUCGGCCAUGAAUUGAUGGCUGCAUGGGAUUUCCAAUACUCUUCUCUUUAUUUCUACAUACUAUAAUUUAAAUGUUCUUGUCUAUAAAGAUAAGUUUUAAAGAACAGUUUUAAAAUCAGUUUUAAAAGUCACUCGAGUUGCCCUAGCAACUACUUUCCAAGUCCUCGCUGUUCUCUGACUACUACUGACCUUUGGCUUCUCUUCUCCAUCUAGUCUCUGCCACCUUAGAACAUCCACUCUUUAGCACUGGUUACCUACAUCAUUUUGCCUCUUUGAUCACAAGAACCUCUCAGCAAGCCUAUCUAGAGAUUUUAAAGAGUUUCCCCAAACUCCAGUAAAGAGAUGGAUCAGCUCUAUGGAACAGAAAACUGCCCACCUCAGCAUCUACCACACACAUCAAGAGAAUAACGUGUCCAUCCAUGGGCCACCAGGUUCAGCCUCAUCACCCAGAACCUUAGCUGGAAUCCACCUGCCCCAGUCUAGAAAUGCUUAAUGAAUUGAUCCUUGCAAGUAACCUAAUUUGAUCAUCCCAUGCUUACUCCAGAAGGGAGGCUCAGCCUAGAACGAGAGGAUAUGCUUUUCAUUUUCUCCCACCCCUGGCACCUCCUAUCAUCAACCUGGCAGGAUUUUCCAUGGCUCAGACUAACCUCAGGCUCAUACUUCAGCAGGCUGAAUCUUCUUAAAAAGCCAUCACAGAUCUGUUCUCAGGAAGCUCUUUGUGUCAGGAACAUGCAGUUUCCUCACUAUGGCCCCAAAUACUCUGGCUACAACCAGAAAGCACAGCUUCCAGACAGAGGAAGGACAAAGAGUGAAGUGUCUACCUUUAAAGACACUUCCCAGAAGUGACAUAGCAUGGACAUCCCAUGUGCCUGAAUUAGUCACGUGGUCACACCUGACGACAAGAAGAGCUGAAAAAUGUGUUCCCUAUUCUGGGUAGACAUGAACCCAGCCAGAGGUUACCAUGGAGGAAAAACCAGAUGCCAGGGACUGCUGAUUGUCUCCACUGCACUAAGAUAAGCAGGAACCAUUAACGGAAUAUCCAUGUAAUUCCUCAGUUCCACCUGGCUGUACUGAAGCUGGGAGUAUGAAUGCAUGGAGCCCCCACCCCUUGCCACCGUGGGCUCCGCUUGGCCUUUGGCUGUUGAUUCACAGCUUCUUCUCUAACCAGCCAGCUCUACUCGCAGCCUUUUAAAAAUGCUUUCUCGGCCAGGCGUGGUGGCUCAUGCCUGUAAUCCCAUCACUUUGGGAGACCGAGGUGGGCAGAUCAUGAGGUCAGGGGUUCAAGACCAGUCUGACCAACAUGGUGAAACCCUGUCUCUACUAAAAAUACAAAAAUUAACCGGGCAUGUUAGUACACACCUGUAAUCCCAGCUAAUCAAAAGGUUGAGGCAGGAGAAUUGCUUGAAUCCGGGAGGCGGAGGUUGCAGAGAGCCGAGAUCGCGCCAUUGCACUACAGCCUGGGCGACAGAGCAAGACUCCGUCUCUAAAUAAAUAAAUAAAAUAAAAUGCUUUUUCUCCUUUUUUAUACAGUUAAUGAAAGUUCACUUUGAAAAUGUAGCUAAGCCGGGCGCGGUGGCUCAAGCCUGUAAUCCCAGCACUUUGGGAGGCCGAGGCGGGUGGAUCACGAGGUCAACAGAUCGAGACCAUCCUGGUCAACAUGGUGAAACCCCGUCUCUACUAAAAUUACAAAAAAUUAGCUGGGCAAGGUGGUGCGUGCCUGUAAUCCCAGCUACUCAGGAGGCUGAGGCAGGAGAAUUGCCUGAACCCAGGAGAUGGAGAUUGCGGUGAGCCGAGAUCGUGCCAUUGCACUGCAGCCUGGGUAGCAAGAGCGAAACUCCGUCUCAAAAAAAAAAAAAAAAAAAAGAAAAUGUAGCUAAAACCAAAGAAAAAAUUAAGCGUCACCCAUGUUCACACUACGUUUAGAUCAUUGUGGAAAAGUUUCAGCCAGUAUCUGUCCUAAGACCUAUCAUGUGUUGAGUGGCUACAAGUGCUUUACCUGUACCCCCUGAUUUAAUCCUUACACUAACCCGGUCAGGAGGGCUACUGAAGUAUAGAGAAAGGAACCUUGUCUGUACUUCCCCAACAAUGCUAACAAUGGCUAGGCCGGAAGUUGAAGCCAGAAAAGGACACCGAAGUUCUCGCUCCUAAGCUCUUUACUGUAUUUUUACAUAUCUACAUUUAUGUGUCUAUUACGUAUGCACAUACACAUACACACUCCUUUCGCAAAAUGGUGUUUCCUUUCCUUUAAACAUAACAAUACAUCAUGAACAUCUUUCCACGUCUUUAUAUUUUCUUUUCUUUUUAUUUUUAGAGAUGGUG
Molecule: long non-coding RNA, 2420 nt
Organism: Callithrix jacchus (white-tufted-ear marmoset)
Lineage: Eukaryota; Metazoa; Chordata; Mammalia; Primates; Cebidae
Source: Ensembl